GGGAUUGUGGUUUGGCUCCUUCAUUGGGGCCUGACCGCGAGAACUUGUCUAAACCUUAUCAUUUAGAGGAAGGUGAAGUCGUAACAAGGUUUCCGUAGGUGAACCUGCGGAAGGAUCAUUA
RNAcentral lists this ribosomal RNA (121 nucleotides) under Thalassiosira sp. RCC4831. RNAcentral's name for it is "partial 18S ribosomal RNA". It matches the Rfam family "Eukaryotic small subunit ribosomal RNA", at positions 1711 to 1831 of the family's 1831-position model. The record is from RNAcentral. Lineage: Eukaryota; Bacillariophyta; Thalassiosirophyceae; Thalassiosirales; Thalassiosiraceae.